UGGGGAAUUUUCCGCAAUGGGCGAAAGCCUGACGGAGCAAUACCGCGUGAGGGAUGAAAGCCUGUGGGUUGUAAACCUCUUUUCUCAAGGAAGAAAUUCUGACGGUACUUGAGGAAUAAGCAUCGGCUAACUCU
This 134-nucleotide ribosomal RNA is filed under the name uncultured phototrophic eukaryote. RNAcentral's name for it is "partial 16S ribosomal RNA". It matches the Rfam family "Bacterial small subunit ribosomal RNA", at positions 355 to 504 of the family's 1533-position model. The record is from RNAcentral.